Molecule: unclassified non-coding RNA, 392 nt
Filed under: soil metagenome
Description: partial contains 5.8S ribosomal RNA, internal transcribed spacer 2, and large subunit ribosomal RNA
Rfam family: 5.8S ribosomal RNA (bases 1-122)
Source: RNAcentral
GAUGAAGAACGUAGCGAAAUGCGAUACUUGGUGUGAAUUGCAGAAUCCCGUGAACCAUCGAGUCUUUGAACGCAAGUUGCGCCCGAAGCCAUUGGGCCGAGGGCACGCCUGCCUGGGCGUCACACGUCGUUGCCCCCCCCAUCUACUCCUUCGGGAUUGCGGGGGGCGGAUGAUGGCCUCCCGUGCGCCUCGCCGCGCGGUUGGCAUAAAUGCCAAGUCCUCGGCGACGCACGCCACGACAAUCGGUGGUUGCGAAACCUCGGUUGCCCGUCGUGUGCGGUCGUCGCGCAUCGAGGGCUCGAAAAAAUUGCCGAGUUCCGGCUCGGCUUUCAACGCGACCCCAGGUCAGGCGGGGUUACCCGCUGAAUUUAAGCAUAUCAAUAAGCGGAGGA